Long non-coding RNA from Scatophagus argus, 418 nucleotides. RefSeq lists it as uncharacterized. NCBI's taxonomy places the organism in Eukaryota, Metazoa, Chordata, Actinopteri, Scatophagidae. The transcript is spliced from 3 exons. The record is from RefSeq and is a predicted model, not a curated record.
UAGCGUGCUCGCAGGUCUACUUUACGGGGCUGCCUGGCUUUGGUGGGGCUCUUCUCUGCCCCCUUGUCCAACAAGGCACCAGCUGUUCCUUUACAUUCCACACCAGCAUUCUGUGGAGACAAAGGAUGGAGCAAACAUUAUGAAUUGAUCCUUUGGGCCCUGGAACUGCCACUGGAGUUGCUUUUGGACUUUGCUGUGCAGAGCAGAAAAAAUGGCUUAUACAUUGCAACUGAUGGAAUGAACUAUCUCUGAUGAUCCAGACGAAAGGUACACUCCAGGCAAUGAGGUUUCGAGCAGCACGGCCCUCUUCAGCAACUAUCUUCCUCACCUUGUCAUGGCUAUUGGAGCGCUGAAAAGAUGCCUGCAGGACAAACAGAUUCAACACAUCAGCUCUGCUCUUUAUCCAAGAGCCAAUUGA